RNAcentral lists this ribosomal RNA (339 nucleotides) under uncultured Escherichia sp. RNAcentral describes it as "bacterial SSU rRNA". It matches the Rfam family "Bacterial small subunit ribosomal RNA", at positions 24 to 359 of the family's 1533-position model. Lineage: Bacteria; Pseudomonadati; Pseudomonadota; Gammaproteobacteria; Enterobacterales; Enterobacteriaceae. The record is from RNAcentral.
UCAGAUUGAACGCUGGCGGCAGGCCUAACACAUGCAAGUCGAACGGUAACAGGAAACAGCUUGCUGUUUCGCUGACGAGUGGCGGACGGGUGAGUAAUGUCUGGGAAACUGCCUGAUGGAGGGGGAUAACUACUGGAAACGGUAGCUAAUACCGCAUAACGUCACAAGACCAAAGAGGGGGACCUUCGGGCCUCUUGCCAUCAGAUGUGCCCAGAUGGGAUUAGCUAGUAGGUGGGGUAACGGCUCACCUAGGCGACGAUCCCUAGCUGGUCUGAGAGGAUGACCAGCCACACUGGAACUGAGACACGGUCCAGACUCCUACGGGAGGCAGCAGAAGGG